This 441-nucleotide ribosomal RNA is filed under the name uncultured bacterium. RNAcentral describes it as "partial 16S ribosomal RNA". It matches the Rfam family "Bacterial small subunit ribosomal RNA", at positions 338 to 795 of the family's 1533-position model. The record is from RNAcentral.
CCUACGGGAGGCAGCAGUGGGGAAUAUUGCGCAAUGGGGGAAACCCUGACGCAGCAACGCCGCGUGAGUGAGGAAGUAUCUCGGUAUGUAAAGCUCUAUCAGCGGGGAGGAAGGAAGACGGUACCCGACUAAUAGGCCUCGGCUAACUACGUGCCAGCAGCCGCGGUAAUACGUAGGGGGCGAGCGUUAUCCGGAUUUACUGGGUGUAAAGUGAGCGUAGACGGCGGGUCAAGUCUGAAGUGAAAGCCCGUGGCUCAACCGCGGAACCGCAGUUGAGACUGCGAGGGGGGAGUGCUGGAGAGGUGAGCGGAAUUCCAGGUGUAGCGGUGAAAUGCGUAGAGAUGAGGAGGAACACCGGUGGCGAAGGCGGCUUACUGGACAGAGACUGACGUUGAGGCGCGAAAGCGUGGGGAGCGAACAGGAUUAGAUACCCGUGUAGUC